RNAcentral lists this small nucleolar RNA (126 nucleotides) under Erinaceus europaeus (western European hedgehog). Lineage: Eukaryota; Metazoa; Chordata; Mammalia; Eulipotyphla; Erinaceidae. The record is from RNAcentral.
GUGGACAUAUUUUAUCUUUUAUUUAUAUAUGUUGAGAGAAAGGAUAUUUCUGAUGUUUCUACACAAACUUUUGGAGGAAAAAUAACAGCAUAGCUAACUUAGCCAAUAGUGUCAAUUUAGACAUAU